Molecule: long non-coding RNA, 709 nt
Filed under: Androctonus crassicauda
Lineage: Eukaryota; Metazoa; Arthropoda; Arachnida; Scorpiones; Buthidae
Source: RNAcentral
UAAAAGGAGGCUAGCGUAUGAAAGAAAUUUAACCCUAUUUGGUGCCCUAAGGAAUGAAAAAGAUAAGAGUGAGCAAAAUGAAAGAAAGGGGGUUUAUAAAAUCUCUUUAGUUGAUAAUGAUACAGAGGAGCAAUUAGCAUAUGUAGAGGUGAUGAUGAGAACUAUAGAAAGACAAGUAGAAGAACCCAAGAAAGACAUCUUACAAGCACAUCUAAAUACAGCCCUUGCAACAACGGCUUAUGAAAAAGAUGUUACGAUAAAAUGGGAUGAGGUGAAAUGUGUCAAAUCAGUAAGAAAGCACACCAAGCCAGCUAUAGUGGAGUCACUGCAAAUAAUGGAGGAGGGGAAGAAUGGAAAGUUAGUUAAUGAUAAAUUGGCAUGGGAACCAUCUCUAGCAUGGAGAUAUCUUUUAGAAAAUAGGGAAUAAGUGUUGUCUUCUGAAAUAUGAGUCUAAGGCUAAUCAAGGUUGAACUUUCUAAAGAAGUUUUGAAGUUUAUUGUAAGCUCACUGGUUUAUGUCAUUUCGUUGCCUUAGUGAUUCGUGCGUUUAUUUUUAAUUUAAUUUUGUUUUCUUAUUUUUUCUUUUUCAUUGUUUUUAAAAAAUAUUCUGUUCUUUUGUACAUUAUUCUAAGUAGUGUAAUGAGCCUGAAGAGGAUGCCUUGUAGCAUUGAAAACGUUCACUUAGGAAAAUAAAGAAUGUGUUUUCAUAC